Molecule: ribosomal RNA, 253 nt
Filed under: uncultured bacterium
Lineage: Bacteria
Description: partial 16S ribosomal RNA
Rfam family: Bacterial small subunit ribosomal RNA
Source: RNAcentral
UACGUAGGGAGCGAGCGUUGUCCGGAAUCAUUGGGCGUAAAGCGCGCGUAGGCGGCCCGAUAAGUCCGUUGUGAAAGUCAAAGGCUCAACCUUUGAAUGCCGAUGGAUACUGUCGGGCUAGAGUCCGGAAGAGGCGAGUGGAAUUCCUGGUGUAGCGGUGGAAUGCGCAGAUAUCAGGAGGAACACCAAUUGCGAAGGCAGCUCGCUGGGACGUUACUGACGCUGAGACGCGAAAGCGUGGGGAGCAAACAGG